Molecule: long non-coding RNA, 976 nt
Filed under: Sinocyclocheilus anshuiensis
Lineage: Eukaryota; Metazoa; Chordata; Actinopteri; Cypriniformes; Cyprinidae
Description: lncRNA (ENSSANG00000015742.1)
Source: RNAcentral
AGGUGUGUUUAAUUGGGGUUGGAGCUAAACUCUUCAGGACACCGGCCCUCCAGGACUGAGUUUGGACACCCCUGCUUUAGUCCAAGGUGAGGUAUUGUGUGUGUGUGUGUGUGGGUGUGUGUGUGUGUGUGGGUGUGUGUGUGUGUGUGUGUGUGUGUACGUACGUACGUACGUACUGGUAAUCACUAGCGUGUGACCUUGGCUUGUGGGGACAUUUUUUUAAGUUGGUGGUCUGGUGACGUGGCUCGGUGAGUGAAUUCCGCGCAUUUUUCCCUUGAGCUCCAGAUCUACAGCAGAUUCACAGAAUAAAAGCGGAGUAGGCCUAGAUCCGUUUGAACAUCAUCAUCCUACACCUCCACAUCCAUUGACCCUGUGUUUGUGUCGCUGUCUGCAUGAGGAAUGGCCGGCAGAGACGUGCUGAAGGCGGAUGAAGGUCUGAUGAUGAUGCAGAAGCUGGAGGACAUACUCGAGGAGCACACGGAUAAACUGGAGCAUGUGCGUCUGGCCUCCGUGGACCUGAGAGAUGCUCUGUCAGGGAAUAAUGACGAUAUGCAGCAGUGCAUCUCUGAACACAUGGAGUGGCUCGCACAGCUGACCGAUCGCGUGGACACACUGCAGAUGAACACUGCCGUCUUUGUACAGAUGAAUGCCAAACCGCGCAGCUUUCGGGUCAAACAGCAGGGGCUCAGAAGCGCUGGCCGCUGGGGCCGCUGUCAUGUGACCGAUGAUGCCCAAUCAGAGUACGGCUGGUCUCCCGUCUGUACCAGACGCAACAGUGAUGUGGCGUCUGAGAUGUCGUGUGCGUGGUAGAAACACUCACAUCAUGAGCAGCAUUACUGUUCCUCGUCCAAAACUGACCACUGUAACGGCAGCCUACUGUUUGAGUAUUUCAUAUAGUUUGAAAUAAGUGUAAUAAAAAGUGUUUGUUGUUCCAAACCUUUGUGACUUUUUCUUCUUUAGAACAUAAAGCAUUUUU